This 1020-nucleotide long non-coding RNA is filed under the name Mytilus galloprovincialis (Mediterranean mussel). The record is from RNAcentral. Lineage: Eukaryota; Metazoa; Mollusca; Bivalvia; Mytilida; Mytilidae.
CGUGUGCUUGUACAAUGUAGUUGGUUUUAAAUUUUGACUGAUAUUAUUUUAUUUUAUAUAAAACAUUUCUGUGAAUAGGAACAUAGCACUAUACUUAAAUGGUAAAAGAAAAACAUAUUGGUAAUUACACAUACCAAAAAAUAUUGUUAGCUGUUAAAGGAUGGGGCAAAGAGGCUAACACUGCUAGCUGAUAUUGUCAUACAAGUGAAGAAAAAUAGACCCGGUUUACGGAGGUGGGAAUUGAAAUGAUGAGAUAUAAGAUGUUUUGUUACUUUGUUAGAAUGAACCUGUCCCAUAUAUAUUUAAUUGUGUAUGUGUGUUAGUGUAAGGUAGACUGUUAAAUGCGUCAAUCUGCAAAUACUCCUUAAUUGGUGGUUUUCAAUCUGUAACUCUCUCUCACAUGUAGCCAACAUUUGAAAAUAUUCAACUUUCAUCAAAAUCUUGGUCCAGUCAUAUAAAUAUGUUUUAUAUAUUUCAAUGGUUGAGUUUUACUAUAUGAAACAAGAAAAAAAUGUCUUGUAAAAGUAAAUUCUUUAUAUCAUCAAAAUCGUUUUAAAUGUACUGCUAUUCAAUUAUGGUUUUCCCGUAUUGUAAUUUACCGUAUUUUCCCACCAUCAUUGUCCUUAACUACGGGACCUGUCGUUAUCACACAGAGCAUGUGUGAAGAGAACCAUGAUAAAAAAAUGCAAACAAAUUUCCACUAGAAGUUAAAUAGUAGUUUGUUAAGACCAAUUUGAUGCAACAAAUCAUUUAUCAACUAUUGAGAAAGCCUUUAAUUUACAAAUGGGAACGCAUGGAAAAAAUAAAGAACAUAAAUGAUCUAGUACCUAUUUUUGUCGGACGUUCUCUGUGUUGAUUGUUCAUCAAUGUCACAAUCAGAUAAACUUCAGCAACAAACUCAAAAACUUAUAAGCUAGCAAUCAACAAUCAUUUAAUGACAUAGUUUUUGUCAACAAUCUAAUUUAAAUUUGUAAUAAAUAUAAAACAAAAAAGUACAUGCAGGACUUAGUUUAGUUGUUU